CAGCAGCCGCGGUAAUACAGAGGGUGCAAGCGUUAAUCGGAUUUACUGGGCGUAAAGGGCGCGUAGGUGGUUAUUUAAGUGAGAUGUGAAAGCCCCGGGCUUAACCUGGGAACUGCAUCUUAUACUGGGUAACUGGAGUGCAGUAGAGGGUAGUGGAAUUUCCGGUGUAGCGGUGAAAUGCGUAGAUAUCGGAAGGAACACCAGUGGCGAAGGCGGCUACCUGGACUGAGACUGACACUGAGGCGCGAGAGCGUGGGGAGCAAACAGGAUUAGAUACCCGAGUAGUCCCUGUCUCUUAUAC
RNAcentral lists this ribosomal RNA (301 nucleotides) under uncultured bacterium. RNAcentral describes it as "partial 16S ribosomal RNA". It matches the Rfam family "Bacterial small subunit ribosomal RNA", at positions 509 to 807 of the family's 1533-position model. The record is from RNAcentral.